CACUAAAUGAAAAUAAAUUUAGCCUUUCCUGCUCAAUGAACUUUAAAUAGCCGCAGAACUCUGUGCUAAGGUAGCAUAAUCAAUUGCCUUUUAAUUGAAGGAUAGAAUGAAAGGAAAUACGAUUUAAAAUUGUUUCAUUAAAAUGUAUUUAACUUAAUUCAAAGGUAAAAAAGCCUUUAUAAAACAGAAAGACAACAAGACCCUAAUGAACUUUACAAAGUUUAACUGGGGCGGUUAUUAAAUAAAACCUUCAACUCACACAAAACAGCCUGUAUAAUAGAGUAAACAAGUUACCAUAGGGAUAACAGUAUAAUUUUAAACAAAAGCUCAAAUUAAAUUUAAAGAUUAUAACCUCGAUGUUGACUAAAAUUUCUACCUCAAGCAAAAUUGAAGAAAGAAAGUCUGUUCGACUUUUAAAUUUUUACA
Molecule: ribosomal RNA, 426 nt
Filed under: Nops sp. NP12
Lineage: Eukaryota; Metazoa; Arthropoda; Arachnida; Araneae; Caponiidae
Description: partial 16S ribosomal RNA
Rfam family: Archaeal large subunit ribosomal RNA
Source: RNAcentral